This 505-nucleotide ribosomal RNA is filed under the name uncultured bacterium. Its description in RNAcentral is "partial 16S ribosomal RNA". It matches the Rfam family "Bacterial small subunit ribosomal RNA", at positions 28 to 507 of the family's 1533-position model. The record is from RNAcentral.
GACGAACGCUGGCGGCGUGCCUAAUACAUGCAAGUAGAACGCACAGUUUAUACCGUAGCUUGCUACACCAUAGACUGUGAGUUGCGAACGGGUGAGUAACGCGUAGGUAACCUGCCUGGUAGCGGGGGAUAACUAUUGGAAACGAUAGCUAAUACCGCAUAAUAUUAAUUAUUGCAUGAUAAUUAAUUGAAAGGUGCAAUUGCACCACUACCAGAUGGACCUGCGUUGUAUUAGCUAGUAGGUGAGGUAACGGCUCACCUAGGCGACGAUACAUAGCCGACCUGAGAGGGUGAUCGGCUACACUGGGACUGAGACACGGCCCAGACUCCUACGGGAGGCAGCAGUAGGGAAGCUUCGGCAAUGGACGAAAGUCUGACCGAGCAACGCCGCGUGAGUGAAGAAGGGUUUCGGAUCGUAAAGCUCUGUUGUAAGAGAAGAACGGGUGUGAGAGUGGAAAGUUCACACUGUGACGGUAUCUUACCAGAAAGGGACGGCUAACUACGUG